RNAcentral lists this non-coding RNA (21 nucleotides) under Arabidopsis thaliana (thale cress). The record is from RNAcentral. Lineage: Eukaryota; Viridiplantae; Streptophyta; Magnoliopsida; Brassicales; Brassicaceae.
UUUUAUUUUUGGUGUUUUUGG